Non-coding RNA from Cyanistes caeruleus (blue tit), 2693 nucleotides. Lineage: Eukaryota; Metazoa; Chordata; Aves; Passeriformes; Paridae. The record is from RefSeq and is a predicted model, not a curated record.
UCCCUCAAUUAUUCCUCACAGGGUUUGUGUUCCAAGCCCCUCACCAGCCUCGUUGCCUCCUCUGGAUACACUCAAGUGUCUCAACAUCCUUCCUGAACUGAGGGGCCCAGAACUGGACACAGAGCUCAAGGUGUGGCCUCACCAGCGCUGGUCUUUGAUCACCCAUGACCUGAGUCUAAUACAUUUGGGGAUGUCCUGUUGAUCCGAAGCCUUGGUCUCCUCACUCCAUAGCAUCUGGGGACAGAAGACUAAAAAGGAGUAAGUCAUGUAAUUCGGGUCUCAGCAGGGAUAGUCACAGGGACAGUAGGGGUUGACACCAUGGCUUGUAUUUGUCCUGUAGAAUCAGUGUUGAUAACAUCUGGGUGCACCAAGGUAUCUUGUAAAGUUGCACUGGAUCUCCCUAUUAGCAGUGCACUCAGUCCUUUCCCUAUGGCCCUAUGGGCCCCUGGGCCUCGAGAGGGACUUUAUGUACCUGUAAAGAUUUUAUGGUUAUUGGGACUGAGGUGGAAAUAUCCAUACCAGCUGAUCCUCUUGUCUUUGCUGUGAGCUGGUCAUGCAGGCUUGUCCUGGAGGGUGGGAAAAUACCUGUGUUGUCACAUGUUUCCCCUUCAUACCGGGCUUCCUGUUUCCCUGCUCUUUGAGAAAUUGUCCGCUAACAUGAGAUUUAGACCAGCAUACCUUGGCCAUAUGUCUGACUCUCCCACAUCAGUUGCAGCUUGCAUUACCACUUCUUUGUCCUUGAGAUGACCCCUGUGGAAUGGGUCUGUGGGGACAGUUUACCUUCACCUGGCCUUGUUGUCCACACCUGUAGCAAUGGGGUGUAGUGUAACAGCAGCUGUAAUAGCAUUAGCUAUAAUAGCUAACAUACCCAUGUUAUGAGAUCCAGUCCCAACAUUAGCACAUGCAUUUAUCAUAUCCUCUAGAGAUGGAUUCUCUUUAGGCAAUGCAUCUAUAAUUUUACUACAGUUUUGGUUUUCAUUAUCUCGUGCCAAUUGUAGCAUUAAUUUACCCCUUGCUUCACUGCUUGUGAUCUGCCUUUCCAUAGCAUCCUGCAAACGUUCUAUGAAUUGCUUAUAUAAUUUGUUGGAGUUUUGUCUUGAAUAGCUUUGGGUUGGCACAGACAAGUUUGUAAUUUUUGUUAGAGGCUGCAUUGCUAAGUUCUUCACUUGGGAUAGUACUGAGGAGUUCAAGUGAGCUUCGGUUUGUGGAUCUUCCAUGGGGUACAACUCCCAUGAGUUGAGGUAUCCCUGCCCCAAAACAUGGAUCAUGCUGUGAAGAUCUUUAAUUUUUCAAUGUCCAGUUCUCUGCAUAGGACCUCCAGGCUGUUUUAAACAUCAUAUGGAGUACAGAUUAAUUUUGCGUCGUGCUUCGUAUCAUAGGGAGCUAAUUAAUUAGAAGUUAUAAAUUGAAGCAUAUUCGCAACAGCAGGCGACCCUAGUCUGUAUUUAGCAGCCAGCUGGCGUAGCUCUGAAAGGAUUUGCCAGUUAAAGGGUACAUGUUUGUCAGGUGUUGUGCCAUUGCAAACUGGGAAUGCUCCAAUUAUUCCCCCUCCCUGCUGCCAGCCCUCUUGUGAUGGUAAAGACAUGGGUGCAGAAAUCAGAUAAGCCCCCUCUAUAUCCCGGCUUUCAAUCGCCUUUUGUUUUAUCUCCAUCCAUAAUAUUACCAGAUCUCGAGUGGGGAUGGUUUCUGCUUGGAAUAUCAAUGAGGUUGGAGCUGCUGUUGGCAGGGGUGCAGACUUGCUCUCUGGGGCUGGUGGUAGGUUGAAGACUUUGGUUGUGUCCGAGGGGAUCUCGUGUUUCCAUCAGCGGUGUGGUUCCUUGGGGCUGUUGGAGCCUUGGCUGCAGAGGCGUUGAGGCUGUGGCAGCGGAGGGCGCGGGGCUGGGCCUGGGGCCUGGUGCCAGGAUGUAACUUCCUGCUUCCGGUGUACUUCCAGCUCUUUUGCUGUAGGUCAGGCUCUCCUUGCCUGUUUUUUCCAGCUUUUUGCUGUUUUGGAUGGGCUCUGCACACCCUGUCCUCUCUCUCCCCUCUGCUCUGCUUGCGGGAACGGCUGUGUCCUCAGUCCAAGACAGCCUUCCAGAAGAUGUGGCCCAGUCUUGCCUGCCUUUCUGGACAACUUGUGCCACAGAUUUUUCAUCUCUAAAUAACCCAUACAUAUAUAUAGGUGUUGGACAGCUUCAGAGCCUGGAACCAUUGAUGAUGGGAGAGUCCAGGAGGUCUCCUGUGGCUCAUGGCAUCUGCUGGGAGGUGAACACUUUCACAAUGAAAUCCUCUUUAGAAUGGCUGACACUUUCAUGAGUAACAGUCCUCAUGUGCAAAGAAAGGUUUUCUUAUUGCCCAAGUUAUUUCACACGUUUUCUUUCUUUUUAUUUAAUUUUUUUCCCUGAAUAGUGGUAGAGAAAUAUAAAAAUCUGAAUAGAUAACAUCUUUAUUGUGAGCUUAUUGGAACGUCAGAGAGGGGCUGAUGAUAGUUUGCAGGUGUAGGAGAGGGGGGAAUAUUUGUAGCACUUGUAGAAAGGUUUAGAGGCAAUCACAGCAGCACCUGACUAAAACCAGAACUGAUUGAAAUCAGAAGAAAGGUGAGAAGCGGGAUGAAUAAAACACGGAUGGGCCGAAAGCGCAGCAAAACACAGUUUUCGCAGAAACACUGGCCUUUUAUCUCACACCUCGAGUGUAACAAAAGUGUUUUCCAGCGG